RNAcentral lists this ribosomal RNA (339 nucleotides) under Neooxyartes zomproi. RNAcentral describes it as "partial small subunit ribosomal RNA". The record is from RNAcentral. Lineage: Eukaryota; Metazoa; Arthropoda; Insecta; Phasmatodea; Lonchodidae.
UAGUUAUAUUCUUUAAACCUAAAGAAUUUGGCGGUAUUAUAGUCUAUUUAGAGGAAUUUGUACUUUUAUCGAUAAUCCCCGAUUUAUCUUGCUUUAUUUAGUAUAUCAGUAUGUAUACCGCCGUUAUAAGUUUAUUUUAUUAGAAUGAAAAUUUACAAUAUUUUUUAUAAAAAUGUAUUUCAGGUCAAGGUGCAGCUUAUAAUAAAGUAGUUAUGAAUUACAAUAUUAUUUGAUUAUACGGAUUUAAUUUUUGAAAUAUUUUAAUGAAGGUGGAUUUAAUUGUAAUUUUAUUAAAAAUAUUAUUUUGAAUUUAGCUCUAUAAUAUGUACACAUCGCCCG